GGUUAAGUGACUAAGCGUACACGGUGGAUGCCUUGGCAGUCAGAGGCGAUGAAAGACGUAGUAACUUGCGAUAAGCCCAGAUUAGGUAGUAACAACCAUUUGAGUCUGGGAUUUCUGAAUGGGGAAACCCACGUGCAUAAGCACGUAUCCUUACCUGAAUACAUAGGGUAAGGAGGCGAACCGGGGGAACUGAAACAUCUAAGUACCCCGAGGAAAAGAAAUCAACCGAGAUUCCGAAAGUAGCGGCGAGCGAAAUUGGACUAGCCCUUAAGCUUUACACGCGUUAGACGAACGGUCUGGAAAGUCCGACGAUACAGGGUGAUAGUCCCGUAGUUGACGACGUGUGUUCAGUGAAAUCGAGUAGGGCGGGACACGUGAUAUCCUGUCUGAAUAUGGGGGGACCAUCCUCCAAGGCUAAAUACUACUGACUGACCGAUAGUGAACCAGUACCGUGAGGGAAAGGCGAAAAGAACCCCUGUGAGGGGAGUGAAAUAGAACCUGAAACCGUGUACGUACAAGCAGUAGGAGCAGGCUUGUCCUGUGACUGCGUACCUUUUGUAUAAUGGGUCAGCGACUUAUAUUCAGUGGCAAGGUUAACCAUCUAGGGGAGCCGUAGGGAAACCGAGUCUUAACUGGGCGUUCAGUCUCUGGAUAUAGACCCGAAACCAGGUGAUCUAGCCAUGGGCAGGUUGAAGGUUGAGUAACAUCAACUGGAGGACCGAACCGACUAAUGUUGAAAAAUUAGCGGAUGACUUGUGGCUAGGGGUGAAAGGCCAAUCAAACCUGGAGAUAGCUGGUUCUCCCCGAAAGCUAUUUAGGUAGCGCCUCGGACGAAUACUACUGGGGGUAGAGCACUGUUAAGGCUAGGGGGUCAUCCCGACUUACCAACCCUUUGCAAACUCCGAAUACCAGUAAGUACUAUCCGGGAGACACACGGCGGGUGCUAACGUCCGUCGUGGAGAGGGAAACAACCCAGACCGCCAGCUAAGGUCCCAAAUUACUACUAAGUGGGAAACGAUGUGGGAAGGCUCAGACAGCCAGGAUGUUGGCUUAGAAGCAGCCAUCAUUUAAAGAAAGCGUAAUAGCUCACUGGUCGAGUCGGCCUGCGCGGAAGAUGUAACGGGGCUAAGUAGUAAACCGAAGCUGCGGCAAUAUACUUUUGUAUAUUGGGUAGGGGAGCGUUCUGUAAGCGGUUGAAGGUGUGUGGUAACGCAUGCUGGACGUAUCAGAAGUGCGAAUGCUGACAUGAGUAACGAUAAAGGGGGUGAAAAACCUCCUCGCCGGAAGACCAAGGGUUCCUGUCCAACGUUAAUCGGGGCAGGGUAAGUCGACCCCUAAGGCGAGGCCGAAAGGCGUAGUCGAUGGGAAACGGGUUAAUAUUCCCGUACUUCUUACAAUUGCGAUGGGGGGACGGAGAAGGCUAGGUGGGCCUGGCGACGGUUGUCCAGGUUCAAGUGCGUAGGCUUAAGAGUUAGGUAAAUCCGGCUCUUUCUAAGGCUGAGACACGACGUCGAGCACCUACGGGUGUGAAGUCAUUGAUGCCAUGCUUCCAGGAAAAGCCUCUAAGCUUCAGAUUGUAAGGAAUCGUACCCCAAACCGACACAGGUGGUCGGGUAGAGAAUACCAAGGCGCUUGAGAGAACUCGGGUGAAGGAACUAGGCAAAAUGGUACCGUAACUUCGGGAGAAGGUACGCUCUUGAUGGUGAAGUCCCUCGCGGAUGGAGCUGACGAGAGUCGCAGAUACCAGGUGGCUGCAACUGUUUAUUAAAAACACAGCACUGUGCAAAAUCGUAAGAUGACGUAUACGGUGUGACGCCUGCCCGGUGCCGGAAGGUUAAUUGAUGGGGUUAGACUUCGGUCGAAGCUCUUGAUCGAAGCCCCGGUAAACGGCGGCCGUAACUAUAACGGUCCUAAGGUAGCGAAAUUCCUUGUCGGGUAAGUUCCGACCUGCACGAAUGGCGUAAUGAUGGCCACGCUGUCUCCACCCGAGACUCAGUGAAAUUGAAAUCGCUGUGAAGAUGCAGUGUACCCGCGGCUAGACGGAAAGACCCCGUGAACCUUUACUACAGCUUGGCACUGAACAUUGACCCUACAUGUGUAGGAUAGGUGGGAGGCUUUGAAGCACGUACGCCAGUAUGUGUGGAGCCGUCCUUGAAAUACCACCCUUGUAGUGUUGAUGUUCUAACGU
This 2188-nucleotide ribosomal RNA is filed under the name Vibrio parahaemolyticus. Its description in RNAcentral is "partial 23S ribosomal RNA". It matches the Rfam family "Bacterial large subunit ribosomal RNA", at positions 1 to 2228 of the family's 2925-position model. The record is from RNAcentral. Lineage: Bacteria; Pseudomonadati; Pseudomonadota; Gammaproteobacteria; Vibrionales; Vibrionaceae.